RNAcentral lists this transfer RNA (75 nucleotides) under Bacteroidia bacterium. RNAcentral describes it as "tRNA-Arg(tct)". It matches the Rfam family "tRNA". From Rfam's summary of the family: Transfer RNA (tRNA) molecules are approximately 80 nucleotides in length. Their secondary structure includes four short double-helical elements and three loops (D, anti-codon, and T loops). Lineage: Bacteria; Pseudomonadati; Bacteroidota; Bacteroidia. The record is from RNAcentral.
GGUUCCAUAGCUCAACCGGAUAGAGCAACGGUUUUCUAAACCGUAGGUUCCAGGUUCGAGUCCUGGUGGGAUCAC